Molecule: ribosomal RNA, 253 nt
Filed under: uncultured bacterium
Lineage: Bacteria
Description: partial 16S ribosomal RNA
Rfam family: Bacterial small subunit ribosomal RNA
Source: RNAcentral
UACGUAGGUGACCAGCGUUGUCCGGAUUUACUGGGCGUAAAGAGCGCGCAGGCGGUCGUUCAAGUCGAGUGUGAAAGCCCCCGGCUCAACUGGGGAGGGUCAUUCGAUACUGAUCGACUUGAAGGCAGGAGAGGGAAGUGGAAUUCCCGGUGUAGUGGUGAAAUGCGUAGAUAUCGGGAGGAAUACCAGUGGCGAAGGCGGCCUUCUGGACGGAUACUGACGCUGAGGCGCGAAAGCCAGGGGAGCAAACGGG